CUCUUUUUGANNNUAAUNUAAAGUNNGGCCUGCCCACUGANNNUUUGAAGGGCCGCAGUAUUUUGACUGUGCAAAGGUAGCAUAAUCAUUAGUUUUUUAAUUGAAAGCUAGAAUGAAAGGUUUGAUGAAAAAAUUUCUGUUUCAAUUUUAUUUUAAAGAAUUUUAUUUUUAAGUUAAAAAGCUUAAAUAAUUUUUAAAGACGAGAAGACCCUAUAGAGUUUAACUGAAAUUUAUUAUUAUAAAAUUUUAGAAUUAAAUUUUAAAUUUUAAAUUAAGUUUUAUUGGGGUGAUAGAAAAAUUAAAUUAACUUUUUUUUUAUUUUAACAAGAAUUAUUGAAUUUUUGAUCCAUUUAUAUGAUUAUAAGAUUAAAUUACCUUAGGGAUAACAGCGUAAUAUUUUUUAAGAGUUCUUAUUUAAAAAAAAGAUUGCGACCUCGAUGUUGGAUUAAAAUUAAUUUUUGGUGCAGAAGCUAAAAAAUUGGGUCUGUUCGACCUUUAAAAUUUUACAUGAUCUGAGUUUAAACCGGUGUGAGCCAGGUUGGUUUCUAUCUUAAUUAAAGUUAAAUAUUUUAGUACGAAAGGAUUAAAUAUUUUAUUUAGAAUAUUGAAUUGAAUAAAAUUUUUAUUUUGGCAGAAUAGUGCAAAGGAUUUAGAAUCUUUUUAUAUAAUUUUAAAUUAUAAAUAAAAAUAGAUUUAAUUUUAAUUUUAAUUAAUUUUUUUAUGUUAUUUGUGGGAGUUUUAGUAGGGGUGGCUUUUUUAACUUUGCUUGAACGAAAGUUAUU
RNAcentral lists this ribosomal RNA (782 nucleotides) under Epilachna canina. RNAcentral describes it as "partial 16S ribosomal RNA". The stretch from base 1 to 576 matches the Rfam family "Bacterial large subunit ribosomal RNA", at positions 1829 to 2925 of the family's 2925-position model. Lineage: Eukaryota; Metazoa; Arthropoda; Insecta; Coleoptera; Coccinellidae. The record is from RNAcentral.